Long non-coding RNA from Ceratitis capitata (Mediterranean fruit fly), 734 nucleotides. RefSeq lists it as uncharacterized. NCBI's taxonomy places the organism in Eukaryota, Metazoa, Arthropoda, Insecta, Diptera, Tephritidae. The transcript has 5 exons. The record is from RefSeq and is a predicted model, not a curated record.
AAUCGAGGUUGAUUUAGUAAAAUCGUAACAAUAUAUAUAUAUAGAUGUUUAAUAUUUCCUUUUUAUCACAACAUUUCAUGUAAUUCAUAUCUGCCACUAAACUCUGUGCCUUUUGCAACAUUGGUAAGUUUUAUAAAAAUUAAACAACGGCAACUCGGGCAAGAGCGUAUAGAGAAUUUUUUUAUGAUGCGAAGCCGUCGGGCUUUAGCGUCUAAGAAGUGUAUGAAAUGUUUGAGAAACAAACGGGAAAAGAAAGUUUGGAAAAUUUGCAAGCAACAACAGAAAACCAAAACAGUGUGAUAGUGGAGAUGACGGCGGAUCACAAAGUGCACCUCACAACAACUAAUAACGGCCUCUUAAAUAUAUCAGCCAUAACAACAUUGUUUCCAAAGAAGACUUGAAAAUUAUGGACGCUGAUAUAAAUUCAAAGAACGAGUCAAAAUAUAUAUCAGCAGUGAAAUAUUUAUUUGAUGUAUGCGUCCAUAAAAAUUUGGAUAGGAUAUUUUCAAGGAAGUUAAGUGUAGCAUACAACACAAACGGGAAUUUCGGGAAAAAGGUCUAAGAACCUACACAAACGUAUACAAAGUUCCACUGUCUGCAAUAGGUUACAGUUCCCCAAAUGCAGAAAAAGAGUUACAAGCCGGACUGCAAGCAGUAAAAAAGACAUUUUCGUUUUAUAAGUAAUAAUAAAACAAAAGUAAUUGAUUAAUGAUAUAAUAUAAUAAUAAUAUUUC